UCAUCUGAUCCAGAUCUGUUGUUGAAGCACUCUUGAAGAGCAUUGUAUUGAGCAAAUGCUUGCUGUGAGAGAGGUCUAUGGAAGUGUUGACUGAUAUAUGUAUGCUCCAGUUCCUUUUGCAAUGUUAAGUCAGUAUCAAUUGCAUAGGAGGGUAGCUCUGGAUAUUGGUCAUUGAGUGGUAGUCCAUUCCAAUUAUCAUACCAGAAUUUUACACUGCCCACUCUUCUUGCUUUGCAUAUAGCCUGUUGUUUGAAUAUAGA
Molecule: long non-coding RNA, 260 nt
Filed under: Hordeum vulgare
Lineage: Eukaryota; Viridiplantae; Streptophyta; Magnoliopsida; Poales; Poaceae
Description: long non-coding RNA (HVUL_LNC013171)
Source: RNAcentral